AACGAACGCUGGCGGCAUGCCUAACACAUGCCAGUCGAACGAAGGCUUCGGCCUUAGUGGCGCACGGGUGCGUAACGCGUGGGAAUCUGCCCUUUUGUUCGGAAUAACAGCUGGAAACGGCUGCUAAUACCGGAUGAUGACGAAAGUCCAAAGAUUUAUCGCCAGAGGAUGAGCGCGCGUUGGAUUAGGUAGUUGGUGGGGUAAAGGCCUGCCAAGCCGACGAUCCAUAGCUGGUCUGAGAGGAAGAUCAGCCACACUGGGACUAAGACGCGGCCCAGACUCCUACGGGAUGGAGGAGUGGGGAAUAUAGGAAAGUGGGGGGAAGGAUGAUGCAGCAAUGACGGGUGAGUGAUGAAGGCCGUAGGGUUGUAAAGCGCUUGUAACCGGGAAGAUAAUGACGGUACCGGGAGAAUAAGCCCCGGCUAACUACGUG
RNAcentral lists this ribosomal RNA (433 nucleotides) under uncultured bacterium. RNAcentral describes it as "partial 16S ribosomal RNA". It matches the Rfam family "Bacterial small subunit ribosomal RNA", at positions 29 to 507 of the family's 1533-position model. The record is from RNAcentral.